Molecule: long non-coding RNA, 1204 nt
Organism: Brassica oleracea var. oleracea
Lineage: Eukaryota; Viridiplantae; Streptophyta; Magnoliopsida; Brassicales; Brassicaceae
Exons: 2
Source: RefSeq, a predicted model, not a curated record
AAUUAAGCUGCCAGACUUGAGAACCCUUAUAAGGUUUUAUAAGGUUUUUAUAAGGUUUUAUAAGGUUUAUUUUUAAGGCCCAUUUAGAGACCAAGGAGCCUGUUCCUUGCCUUCUCUAUAAAUAUGUGUCUGAAAACCCUAAUAGAACUAUCCAAUCUUUUAUUUUCAGACUCUUGUCUCUCUCUGACGGCUGCAAGUCUUCUUGUAGAUCUGAGUGUUCUUGAGUCUUUGUUAGUGUGUCAUAUCUAACAAAACCACAAGAGUGAUUGUCUUGGUGUGUCAUAUCCAAGGGAUUCACUUAGGAGUAUCAAGGAGACCUCUCACAUCUCUUUGUGUCACCAUUCAUUCCACAAACCUUGAAGCAGAUUGAGUCUUUGAUUCUCUGUUUGCAAGGAUCUAUCCCAUUCCAACCAGAGAAGCAUCCUAGGAGUGUAUUAUUUGUCAUUAACACAGCCGUUUGAUCACUUUACUACCUUUUAUUUUGGACAGCCCAGAUUAUUUGUCAUUUAAGCUUAUUUCUUAUUUUCUUAGUCAUUUUUUUAUCGUUAUCUUCCUCCUCCCAAAUUCCCUUUUUUUGUAAAUUGGAUUUGAUUCUUCAGAAACAAAUUUCAGAGAAAUUUUCUUCAAUUAUUGUCUUUGUUAUCUGGUUUUCCUUUUCUUCUGAUUAUGAACGACCAACAACAACACUUUCAUUGGGAUAAUGUUUAUCAAGCACCAACAAAUAAACGAUCCUGUUUUACUAAGAGAAGAAAAUCAUAUUUGGCAAUUUCAAUGUAUUUCUAUAACAAAUUAGAUACAAUCAUCAACGAUGAUGAGAUUUUUCAGUGGCUCUGACACAACAACGAUAUUCGACUCUACCUACCUCCGGUGAGAGUGACGACUCCGGUGGUGAUGCUUCAUAGCGGCUGUAGCGAAGCUUCUUAUGGACGUGGCACGAGAGCAACUGGUUUUGUGGUGAAUAACAAACGCGAUCACUCGGGACUGUUCUUGUCUCCUUACUUUAGCAGCUAGGUUAGAACGAAGAUGAAGAUGUUUACGAUUGAUCUCCACCAAAUCCAAUUUCUUUUAUUUUCACUUUAAGUCAUUGAUGUUUAGUUAUGUUUUUAAUUUGACCAUAAAUUAUUGAAUAUAUAGAUUUGUCUUCUUUAAUUGACUCCAAACUUCUAAAUAUGCUUUUUUAACCCUUGUUGUAUGCAAUAAUAAU